GGGCCCGUAGCUCAGCAUGGAUAGAGCGGCAGCCUCCGGAGCUGCAUGCCCCGGGUUCAAGUCCCGGCGGGCCCGCCA
Molecule: transfer RNA, 78 nt
Filed under: Thermoprotei archaeon
Lineage: Archaea; Thermoproteati; Thermoproteota; Thermoprotei
Also listed under: 1 other name
Description: tRNA-Arg
Rfam family: tRNA
About the family: Transfer RNA (tRNA) molecules are approximately 80 nucleotides in length. Their secondary structure includes four short double-helical elements and three loops (D, anti-codon, and T loops). Further hydrogen bonds mediate the characteristic L-shaped molecular structure. tRNAs have two regions of fundamental functional importance: the anti-codon, which is responsible for specific mRNA codon recognition, and the 3' end, to which the tRNAs corresponding amino acid is attached (by aminoacyl-tRNA synthetases). tRNAs cope with the degeneracy of the genetic code in two manners: having more than one tRNA (with a specific anti-codon) for a particular amino acid; and 'wobble' base-pairing, i.e. permitting non-standard base-pairing at the 3rd anti-codon position.
Source: RNAcentral